Molecule: ribosomal RNA, 519 nt
Filed under: Sporidesmium gyrinomorphum
Lineage: Eukaryota; Fungi; Ascomycota; Sordariomycetes; Sporidesmiaceae
Description: SSU rRNA
Rfam family: Eukaryotic small subunit ribosomal RNA
Source: RNAcentral
GCUUGUCUCAAAGAUUAAGCCAUGCAUGUCUAAGUAUAAGCAAUUAUACCGCGAAACUGCGAAUGGCUCAUUAAAUCAGUUAUCGUUUAUUUGAUAGUACCUUACUACUUGGAUAACCGUGGUAAUUCUAGAGCUAAUACAUGCUAAAAAUCCCGACUCACGGAGGGAUGUAUUUAUUAGAUUAAAAACCAAUGCCCUUCGGGGCUUCUUGGUGAUUCAUAAUAACUUCUCGAAUCGCAUGGCCUUGCGCCGGCGAUGGUUCAUUCAAAUUUCUGCCCUAUCAACUUUCGAUGGCAGGGUCUUGGCCUGCCAUGGUUACAACGGGUAACGGAGGGUUAGGGCUCGACCCCGGAGAAGGAGCCUGAGAAACGGCUACUACAUCCAAGGAAGGCAGCAGGCGCGCAAAUUACCCAAUCCCGAUUCGGGGAGGUAGUGACAAUAAAUACUGAUACAGGGCUCUUUUGGGUCUUGUAAUUGGAAUGAGUACAAUUUAAAUCCCUUAAAGGAAUUGACGGAAGA